Monodelphis domestica (gray short-tailed opossum) is the source of this 104-nucleotide small nuclear RNA. The record is from Ensembl. NCBI's taxonomy places the organism in Eukaryota, Metazoa, Chordata, Mammalia, Didelphimorphia, Didelphidae.
GAUGUGCUCACAAUUCAUAUGCUAACAUUAGAGAAACAUAGAGAAGACUAGCAUGGCUUCAGCACUAGAAUAACAAGCUAUUUUAUGAAGAACUGCCAAUCUUA